CUUUGCAAGCAAAGUCAGGAAUCAGCGGCCCACCUUCUGUUCCAAUGUCGUUUUACCCUUCGUGUGUGGAAUGAUAUCCUCCAGUGGCUUGUCAUGCAUCACAUCAAUAUCGCUGCUUGGAUGAUGAGGGGCUCGAUGAAGGAAUGGUGGACCGGAAACGUUCAUAUUCAUAGCGAAUCCCCCAAGGUGCUUGCUUCGCUAAUGAUGCUCAUCUCCUGGGAGAUUUGGUCGGAGCGCAAUUCUAGAAUCUUCCGCAACACGGCCUCUCCUUCGAUGGUCCUUAUUAACAAGAUCAAAGAGGAGUUAUCUCUUUGGGCUUUGGCGAGCGCCAAGCAUUUGAGUAUUGUAAUGGCGCGAGAGUAG
RNAcentral lists this ribosomal RNA (363 nucleotides) under Triticum aestivum (bread wheat). RNAcentral describes it as "partial small subunit ribosomal RNA". Lineage: Eukaryota; Viridiplantae; Streptophyta; Magnoliopsida; Poales; Poaceae. The record is from RNAcentral.